AACGCACAUUGCGCCCUCUGGUAUUCCGGAGGGCAUGCCUGUCCGAGCGUCAUUGCUGUCCCUCAAGCCCGGCUUGUGUGUUGGGCCUACCGUCCUGUUUGGAUGGUGGCCCGAAAGGCAGUGGCGGCGUCGCGUCCCGGUCCUUGAAGCGUAUGGGGCUUUGUCACCCGCUUGGAGGCCGGCCGAUGCCGUAGCCCAUCGUGGAUCUUCCACAUUUAUUCUGAUGGACCUCGGAUCAGGUAGGGAUACCCGCUGAACUUAA
RNAcentral lists this unclassified non-coding RNA (262 nucleotides) under uncultured fungus. RNAcentral describes it as "partial contains 5.8S ribosomal RNA, internal transcribed spacer 2, and large subunit ribosomal RNA". The stretch from base 1 to 52 matches the Rfam family "5.8S ribosomal RNA", at positions 103 to 154 of the family's 154-position model. Lineage: Eukaryota; Fungi. The record is from RNAcentral.